GACGAACGCUGGCGGCGUGCUUAACACAUGCAAGUCGAGCGGAGCGGCGAACGGGUGAGUAACGCGUGAGUAACUGCCCCCCUCUCUGGGAUAACAGUUGGAAACGGCUGCUAAUACCGGCUAGUGGGGGAUGACUCGCGUCCAAUGAGCUUGUUGGUAGGGUAGUGGCCUACGAAGGCGACGACGGGUAGCCGGCCUGAGCGGGCAACCGGCGACAUGGGGCUGAGGGACGGCCCAAACGCCAACGGGAGGCAGCAGUGGGAAAUAUUGCACAAUGAGGGAAACCCAGAUGCAGCGGCGCCGCGUGCGUAAUGACGGGUUUCGGGUGGUAAACCGCUUUCAGCCAUGACGCGGUAGUUGCAGAAGAAGCACCGGCUAACUACGUGCCAGCAGCCGCGGUAAUUC
RNAcentral lists this ribosomal RNA (405 nucleotides) under uncultured bacterium. Its description in RNAcentral is "partial 16S ribosomal RNA". It matches the Rfam family "Bacterial small subunit ribosomal RNA", at positions 28 to 526 of the family's 1533-position model. The record is from RNAcentral.